This is a long non-coding RNA of Nanorana parkeri, 192 nucleotides long. RefSeq lists it as uncharacterized. The record is from RefSeq and is a predicted model, not a curated record. Lineage: Eukaryota; Metazoa; Chordata; Amphibia; Anura; Dicroglossidae. The transcript is spliced from 3 exons.
CUUCACCAAGAACAUGAUCCCUGUGGCCAGGGGAAUCAAUAAUUGUGACAUAGUACUUGCUGGUCUCAAAUUUCCACAGGGAGAUGUUGAUGGUAAUGCCACAUACACACUCAUCCUUCAGUUUGUCCAAGACCCAAGCGUAUUUGAAAGAGCCCUUUCCCAUCUCGGCAGCUUUGUUCUCAAAUUUUUGGA